GGUGCUUGCACUGGGGAUUAGUGGCGAACGGGUGAGUAACACGUGAGUAACCUGCCCUUAACUCUGGGAUAAGCCUUGGAAACGAGGUCUAAUACUGGAUAUUGACUUUUCCUCGCAUGGGGAUUGGUUGAAAGAUUUAUUGGUUUUGGAUGGACUCGCGGCCUAUCAGCUUGUUGGUGAGGUAAUGGCUCACCAAGGCGACGACGGGUAGCCGGCCUGAGAGGGUGACCGGCCACACUGGGACUGAGACACGGCCCAGACUCCUACGGGAGGCAGCAGUGGGGAAUAUUGCACAAUGGGCGAAAGCCUGAUGCAGCGACGCCGCGUGAGGGAUGACGGCCUUCGGGUUGUAAACCUCUUUCAGUAGGGAACAAGGCCAGACGUUGUCUGGUUGAGGGUACUUGCAGAAGAAGCGCCGGCUAACUACGUGCCAGCAGCCGCGGUAAUACGUAGGGCGCAAGCGUUAUCCGGAAUUAUUGGGCGUAAAGAGCUCGUAGGCGGUUUGUCGCGUCUGCCGUGAAAGUCCGGGGCUCAACUCCGGAUCUGCGGUGGGUACGGGCAGACUAGAGUGAUGUAGGGGAGACUGGAAUUCCUGGUGUAGCGGUGAAAUGCGCAGAUAUCAGGAGGAACACCGAUGGCGAAGGCAGGUCUCUGGGCAUUAACUGACGCUGAGGAGCGAAAGCAUGGGGAGCGAACAGGAUUAGAUACCCUGGUAGUCCAUGCCGUAAACGUUGGGCACUAGGUGUGGGGGACAUUCCACGUUUUCCGCGCCGUAGCUAACGCAUUAAGUGCCCCGCCUGGGGAGUACGGCCGCAAGGCUAAAACUCAAA
RNAcentral lists this ribosomal RNA (830 nucleotides) under Arthrobacter alpinus. Its description in RNAcentral is "bacterial SSU rRNA". It matches the Rfam family "Bacterial small subunit ribosomal RNA", at positions 75 to 905 of the family's 1533-position model. The record is from RNAcentral. Lineage: Bacteria; Bacillati; Actinomycetota; Actinomycetes; Micrococcales; Micrococcaceae.